AUACGAAGGGGGCUAGCGUUGUUCGGAAUCACUGGGCGUAAAGCGCGCGUAGGCGGUCAUGCAAGUCAGAGGUGAAAUGCCGGGGCUUAACCCCGGAACUGCCUUUGAAACUGUAUGACUGGAGUCUUGGAGGGGGUAGUGGAAUUCCGAGUGUAGAGGUGAAAUUCGUAGAUAUUCGGAAGAACACCAGUGGCGAAGGCGACAUACUGGCUCAUUACUGACGCUGAGGCUCGAAAGCGUGGGGAGC
RNAcentral lists this ribosomal RNA (247 nucleotides) under uncultured bacterium. Its description in RNAcentral is "partial 16S ribosomal RNA". It matches the Rfam family "Bacterial small subunit ribosomal RNA", at positions 523 to 769 of the family's 1533-position model. The record is from RNAcentral.